Molecule: long non-coding RNA, 306 nt
Filed under: Vigna radiata
Lineage: Eukaryota; Viridiplantae; Streptophyta; Magnoliopsida; Fabales; Fabaceae
Description: long non-coding RNA (VRAD_LNC012205)
Source: RNAcentral
UGAAAAUUGAAGUGUUGGUUACAGUGCAUGGUAGAACGAUGAGUUUGAGAAUAUAAGGGAAAAUUAGUGGAGGAGAUGAUACAAGGAAAACCUGACAAAAAGGAGAACGAGGAAAGAAAUAAAAUAAUGAGAUGGGUAAGCCUAUUCCGAGGCAAGGAAGUGAAGGCCAUUAACAGUCUAUCCAUUCAAGUUUUUCUUUGCUUUUAAAGAUUUCACCAAAUCUCAUCCUGCUACUAGGAGCCAAGCCAUGGCCCAUGGCUAUUAAUAUAUUUAUUUUAUAUAUAAUCUCCUAAUCAAUAUCAUAUU